GUGUCAGCAGCCGCGGUAAUACGUAGGGUGCAAGCGUUAAUCGGAAUUACUGGGCGUAAAGCGUGCGCAGGCGGUGAUGUAAGACAGGUGUGAAAUCCCCGGGCUUAACCUGGGAACUGCAUUUGUGACUGCAUCGCUGGAGUGCGGCAGAGGGGGAUGGAAUUCCGCGUGUAGCAGUGAAAUGCGUAGAUAUGCGGAGGAACACCGAUGGCGAAGGCAAUCCCCUGGGCCUGCACUGACGCUCAUGCACGAAAGCGUGGGGAGCAAACAGGAUUAGAUACCCUGGUAGUCCACGCCCUAAACGAUGUCAACUGGUUGUUGGUCCUUCACUGGAUCAGUAACGAAGCUAACGCGUGAAGUUGACCGCCUGGGGAGUACGGCCGCAAGGUUGAA
Molecule: ribosomal RNA, 393 nt
Filed under: uncultured bacterium
Lineage: Bacteria
Description: bacterial SSU rRNA
Rfam family: Bacterial small subunit ribosomal RNA
Source: RNAcentral